Molecule: long non-coding RNA, 271 nt
Filed under: Elaeis guineensis (African oil palm)
Lineage: Eukaryota; Viridiplantae; Streptophyta; Magnoliopsida; Arecales; Arecaceae
Description: long non-coding RNA (EGUI_LNC041630)
Source: RNAcentral
AUCUAUCCUAAGAGGAUGAAUUAUAUCCGUAGAUCAUGACUCGUCUCUACAUCGUCAUAAGCUAUUCAAAGAUCUAAAUUAUAGACUAAUCAAUAAGCAUAAUACUUAUAGUAAUGAAAAAGAAAUUUUAUUCAUGCAAGAAAAGAUCAUUACAAUCAAGAUUUAAUUUUAUGACAAAGAAACUAAAAUAUAAACAUUAAAAAGAACCUCAUAUACUCUCCUGGAGACUCAGAGUUUAGCCGUGCAUGGUGUCUGCAAGCAUCAUCUUCAU